Molecule: long non-coding RNA, 462 nt
Filed under: Ananas comosus (pineapple)
Lineage: Eukaryota; Viridiplantae; Streptophyta; Magnoliopsida; Poales; Bromeliaceae
Description: long non-coding RNA (ACOM_LNC002768)
Source: RNAcentral
AUAUUAUUAUGAGUAGGAAGGACUUUAAAUCAUAUUUAACGAAGUGGAUUGUCGAUUCGAAAGUUUUAUCAUUGAAAAUAACUUAUGAGUAUGAAUGACUAUACUCAUAAGAGUAUAGUAGCAGUGUACAUAUAUAUAUAUAUAUAUAUAUAGAGAGAGAGAGAGAGAGAGAGAGAGAGAGAGAGAGAGAGAGUUCGGCUACUAUGUUAUUAAUAGUACGAGUUCGGCUACUAUGUUAUUAAUAGUACGAAGCAUUUGGUGCUACUAAGUUUUCCGCCGUUAGAUUUAUCAUUUUGAUCAUUUUCCUCCGUUAGAUUAUACUAUUCAACCAACCACCCACUCAACCCUAGGGAGCUCACAUCAUCCUAACCGUACAUCUCUUAAUCCAAUGGUCAAAACUUUAGUAGCACCAAUAAUUUGGUACUAUUAAUAGUAUAUUACUCUCUCUCUCUCUCUCUCUCU